GAGGGUAUAGCUCAGUGGUAAAGCGUGUGCCUAGCAAGCAUGAGGUCCUGGGUUUAAUCCCCAGUACCUCCA
Transfer RNA from Camelus ferus (Wild Bactrian camel), 72 nucleotides. It matches the Rfam family "tRNA". Rfam says of the family: Transfer RNA (tRNA) molecules are approximately 80 nucleotides in length. Their secondary structure includes four short double-helical elements and three loops (D, anti-codon, and T loops). NCBI's taxonomy places the organism in Eukaryota, Metazoa, Chordata, Mammalia, Artiodactyla, Camelidae. The record is from Rfam.